Molecule: small RNA, 503 nt
Filed under: uncultured Glomus
Lineage: Eukaryota; Fungi; Glomeromycota; Glomeromycetes; Glomerales; Glomeraceae
Description: SSU rRNA
Rfam family: Eukaryotic small subunit ribosomal RNA
Source: RNAcentral
AGCAGCCGCGGUAAUUCCAGCUCCAAUAGCGUAUAUUAAAGUUGUUGCAGUUAAAAAGCUCGUAGUUGAAUUUCGGGAUCAAUCUAUCGGUCGUGCAAUAGUACGUACUGAUUUUAUUGAUUCCUACCUUCUGAUGAACUAUGAUGUCAUUAAUUUGGUGUCAUAGGGAAUCAGGACUGUUACUUUGAAAAAAUUAGAGUGUUUAAAGCAGGCUCACGCUUGAAUACAUUAGCAUGGAAUAACGAAAUAGGACGUUUGAUUCUAUUUUGUUGGUUUCUAGGAUCGACGUAAUGAUUAAUAGGGAUAGUUGGGGGCAUUAGUAUUCAAUUGUCAGAGGUGAAAUUCUUGGAUUUAUUGAAGACUAACUACUGCGAAAGCAUUUGCCAAGGAUGUUUUCAUUAAUCAAGAACGAAAGUUAGGGGAUCGAAGACGAUCAGAUACCGUCGUAGUCUUAACCAUAAACUAUGCCGACUAGGGAUCGGAUGAUGUUAAUUUUUUAAUGA